Molecule: ribosomal RNA, 253 nt
Filed under: uncultured Paracoccaceae bacterium
Lineage: Bacteria; Pseudomonadati; Pseudomonadota; Alphaproteobacteria; Rhodobacterales; Paracoccaceae
Description: uncultured Rhodobacteraceae bacterium partial 16S ribosomal RNA
Rfam family: Bacterial small subunit ribosomal RNA
Source: RNAcentral
UACGGAUGUGUUUAGCGUUGUUCGGAAUUAUUGGUCUUCAUGUGCACGUAUGUGUUUUUUUAUUUAUUUGUGUAUAUCCCAGGGCUCAACCCUGGAACGGCCUCAUAAACUCCCAGUCUGGAGUUCGAGAGAGGUGAGUGGAAUUCCGAGUGUAGAGGUGAAAUUCGUAGAUAUUCGGAGGAACACCAGUGGCGAAGGCGGCUCACUGGCUCGAUACUGACGCUGAGGUGCGAAAGUGUGGGGAGCAAACAGG